GUGGGGAAUCUUGCGCAAUGGGCGAAAGCCUGACGCAGCCAUGCCGCGUGAAUGAUGAAGGUCUUAGGAUUGUAAAAUUCUUUCACCGGGGACGAUAAUGACGGUACCCGGAGAAGAAGCUCCGGCUAACUUCGUGCCAGCAGCCGCGGUAAUACGAAGGGGGCUAGCGUUGCUCGGAAUUACUGGGCGUAAAGGGCGCGUAGGCGGACAGCUUAGUCAGAGGUGAAAGCCCAGGGCUCAACCUUGUAAUUGCCUUUGAUACUGGCUGUCUUGAGUUUGGGAGAGGGGAGUGGAACUCCGAGUGUAGAGGUGAAAUUCGUAGAUAUUCGGAAGAACACCAGUGGCGAAGGCGACUCACUGGCCCAAUACUGACGCUGAGGCGCGAAAGCGUGGGGAGCAAACAGGAUUAGAUACCCGGGUAGUCC
This 425-nucleotide ribosomal RNA is filed under the name uncultured bacterium. Its description in RNAcentral is "partial 16S ribosomal RNA". It matches the Rfam family "Bacterial small subunit ribosomal RNA", at positions 354 to 796 of the family's 1533-position model. The record is from RNAcentral.